This 253-nucleotide ribosomal RNA is filed under the name uncultured bacterium. RNAcentral's name for it is "partial 16S ribosomal RNA". It matches the Rfam family "Bacterial small subunit ribosomal RNA", at positions 524 to 776 of the family's 1533-position model. The record is from RNAcentral.
UACGGAGGGUGCGAGCGUUAUUCGGAAUUACUGGGCGUAAAGCGCGUGAAGGCGGCUUGACAAGUCUGAUGUGAAAGCCCUGGGCUCAACCUGGGAAGUGCAUUGAAAACUGUCAGGCUUGAGUACCGGAGAGGAUGGGGGAAUUACCGGUGUAGAGGUGAAAUUCGUAGAGAACGGGAGGAAUACCAGUGGCGAAGGCGCCCAUCUGGACGGUAACUGAAGCUGAGACGCGAAAGCGUGGGGAGCAAACAGG